RNAcentral lists this ribosomal RNA (468 nucleotides) under uncultured bacterium. Its description in RNAcentral is "partial 16S ribosomal RNA". It matches the Rfam family "Bacterial small subunit ribosomal RNA", at positions 28 to 507 of the family's 1533-position model. The record is from RNAcentral.
GACGAACGCUGGCGGCGUGCUUAACACAUGCAAGUCGAACGGAAAGGCCCUGCUUUUGUGGGGUGCUCGAUUGGCGAACGGGUGAGUAACACGCGAGUAACCUGCCCUUGACUUUGGGAUAACUUCAGGAAACUGGGGCUAAUACCGGAUAGGAGCUCCUGCUGCAUGGGGGGGGUUGGAAAGUUUCGGCCGUUGGGGAUGGACUCGCGGCUUAUCAGCUUGAUGGUGGGGUAGUGGCUUACCAAGGCUUUGACGGGUAGCCGGCCUGAGAGGGUGAACGGCCACAUUGGGACUGAGAUACGGCCCAGACUCCUACGGGAGGCAGCAGUGGGGAAUAUUGCACAAUGAGCGGAAGCCUGAUGCAGUAACGCCGCGUGCGGGAUGACGGCCUUCGGGUUGUAAACCGCUUUCGCCUGUGACGAAGCGUGAGUGACGGUAAUGGGUAAAGAAGCACCGGCUAACUACGUG